AUUCCGCGCCAUACUAAUUUUACGUCAUUCAUCAUCCAGAUUGUGUGUGCUCACGCACGUUAUAGUCACUCGGCGUGUUCGUAUUUGUGAGGCAAAUCGUAUUCCAUAAUGAUUGUAAAAUUGCUUCCGACCGGAGGUUAAUGUCACUCGAUGCUUUUGAGAAUGUUGUCGAAUAUUGUCGAACGUUGCUAGUUUUAACAUCGGUGUAUAUAUAUAUAUAUAUGGAAAUCGUAGCAAGCGGCAGCUUAGAAUGCUCAUUUCAGAUCUGUUUUAACAGUUGUCGAUAAUUCGUUUUCGUCGUUUGCACGCGUAAGCUUCGUUUAAAUGGAAAACACAGCCUGUAGCUGCAAGCAUGUGAAACAACGUACAAAGUAGAGUACGAUGUUCGCGUUUCUUUAUAAACAGAUUUACGAAUCAACACGACGAGUUAAGAAGUCUUUUAAUAUGCAGAGGCGAUAAUCGAAUCUUUCCUUAUUUUCCGCGAUAAGCAAAUUUUUCAUCGCCUCCGGGAAUACCCUUUCUUUUCGUUCCGAAAGAUCCUACGAAGCGAUAAAAAAUUAAUAUCGACACUGUAUCUUUGAUCGAUUAAUUCCCAUGAUUUGUAUCGAUAUUUAUAUCCGAUAAGAUUUAAGCCAUCGAAAGUUUCAAUUCAUUGGUCUAGUCGUUUAUAUCAUCAUCGGGCAAAUUUUCAAAACUGCAUUAUCAUACUCUACGAUGAUAAUUCCCUUAUCGAAUAUCGGGAUUAAAAUAUAUCUUUGUGCAAACAAGCCGACGUAUUAAUUUCACAAUCUUCCAUGAAUCAGUUCCGCCUUUUAUUAACUGCAAUCAACAGCGAGACCUCUUACGAAAAUGGAGCUGGUUCUUGCGUCAAUUGUAGCGGCGGGUUCCGUGGCGCACGAUACGACGCUGCAUAAGAACCGCUUUGGUGGGGUAUGUAAAGAGUGGGGGGACCGAGAGAGGGGUAAAUUUCCCCUUGUUCGCACACUCCGUUAUGACCCAACAUUAUCGGUGAAUGUGCCGUGCGCGAGAUGGAGGCUCGUCCUCUCAAGGGCAAAAAAGUCAUUCGAUUCCGCACCCACAAAUUCGUUGAUUGCAUCACGUGAAUCUAAGACGCUUCUGUUACCGUGUUACGCGAAAAUUUGCAAAUUUGCGUCUUCCACGUCUGGGACGGAUUUUUCCACGCCUACCAAUUACUAUUAAUCGUUACUCCUUCGGAAAGUAAUUUCCUUACGGCAUCGAACAUCUGGUUUGACCUUUUCAUAGAUAUGAUACGAUGUUACUGCAAAAUACAUUAAAAAAUAAUCGACUUUAAUGUCCAACACGUGCAUUAUCUUCGUCGAAAAAAUAUGAAAUCAUUGUCAUUCUUCGGCGAGCUUAACUCGGUAUUUCAUCGCAUAAUUUAUAUAUAAACCAUUUUCUUCUUUUAUAUCGUUUACGGUUAAUCCGUGAAAUUAACAAGAUCUCUACUCCGUAUCCUCGUUCCGAAGCAACAGAAACAUCGAGAGUGAUUGCUUUUUAAUCGUCUUUUUAAUUGAGGGCCCUCGUUGCAUUCAUUUUCGUUUAUUCCGUAUCUUUCAAUAUAUUCUUUGUUAGUGUAUCGUUUAACACGGAUGAAAUAUAUCGUGAAACAGCGUCGUAAAAUGAUUACCGGCUUACCAUUCUGUGAGUAGAUAAACGUCGCUUAAAACCCGGAUAAGCUGUCGAGCUUAUUCGCUAAAAAGUUACACCGUUUAGAGAUAUUUUAACUUGGAUAUUAUUUUUUCAUGGUUGUUUUAUCGGAAAACUACCUUCUUCGAUGAAAAUCGAUAGAGAAACGAGCAGAACGAUGCUAUCGACACAGCGAUACGUCGAUUGAAGCAAUUUCAAUUUCUAUUCGCUAUAUUAUAAACUUUCUAGCAUUGAGAUUACGCAAAUACGAUAACACGUGCAGCGUUUCCAAGAUAUUUGUAAUAAAAAGUCGAGUACAAAAGCGUACUCGAGUACCUUCGAUCAAUCUACCUUUUUCAUUAAUCAAUAGUACUCGAUCGUGCACUGCUUCAUUCAAUAAUAUUACUGCAUGGUAUUGAGCAUUGCGCUCUAUCUAAUAAAAGUCGUUGAUUCUCUUCGAUCUAUCCAACAAUUGUCCCACGGUUCUAUGUCCAUCGUGUUUGUUCUUUUGCUUCGCGGUAACGCGAUACAGCUUUGCAGCAAUAACGACGCAAUUCACUUCGUUUAAUCUUCCAGUCAAUUUAUGUUUCAUUGUACCGAUAUCAUGUAGCUGGCAACAAAUAGAGUAUUUCAUUCCGCUCUUCCAUUGCGUAUUGCAGCGACUCGAGCUGCAGCUUGCGUUUAUCUUCUGGAGACUGUGUUUCUAGCGGACACGCGAUGCGCCACUUCCGUUCGUUAUAUCCGUACUCGGAUGCACGAUACGUCGAAUGUUCCGAUAUUUGUUCUAACCCUCUAUAAUUAGAGUUUUGUCUACAUACAAAGGAACAAGAGCGACGUUACCAAAAGUUCUAGUCAAGGUAUUUCUCGUUCAAUUACUAUUUCAUGAAAUAUAUUUCUAUAUAUUUGCGUUUAUUACACGUUCAGAACGUGCAACGUUCGUAAAGCAAGCUUGCUAAAUAUAUAAUAUUUAUAUAAGAAAUACACGUUUUAUAAUAUUUUAUAUGUGGAAAUUGCACAAUUGAACUGCGUUACGUCGUCGUUAGUUCUAACAUGUUCGACCGAUCGGAAAGCUGAUAAAGCUGAUAAAACGGAAAAGGAACAAAUGGUCCUCCUACGAAGGUAAAAGCCUCGUUGUCAUUCGAUCGAUCGAGCAUUCUCCAUCGUUUCUUGUCCAUUAUCUUGUGCUUUUAUAUGACACAUGGAGGCUUCCACGUGGCGUAGCGCAUAUUCUUUCCAGGUGUGUUUGACGAAGCACAAACAUAUGGGUCGAUAGGGACGAUAGUGACAGAAUCGUUCCUGAACGACGACGUGUAUUCGAUGGUCGAUCGAUGAUGCUGAGUACGAAGAAGUAGGCGGUGCAGAGCGUUGAAAAUUGUUUGCGAUGAAUCGUGCAAGCAGAGGAAGUUCCUCCAAGUCACGAUUAUAAGCAAGUUUCUCGGCGUCGACUCGAUGGAAACUCGUUAUUAAUUGUUACAUCGAAGCGAAGAUUCCCUCUGAUGUGUCGCGUGGACGAAUGAUACUCUAUUUCCUUAGCGUUAUCGCAUUUUUCCAAAGUUCUUUUAUUUGUAUGCCGAUCCUGUGUUUUUCACUGUCCAAUACAAGAAUAAAACAAGAGAAAAUUUGAUAAUUUUUCUGCGUUGCAGUAUGACGAAAUUCGAAGCGCGGUUUGGUUUUCGAGCUGACGAGCAGACGAGUACGAAGCACAGAAAGCGCGUGUGGAUUUCGUCGGACGAUUAUUCUAGGAUCGAUAAAGCUUUUCUACCGAAGAAACGGCGUAAAUGAGAGCUUUUAGUUCAUCGGAGACUCUGUCUUUGCGUUAUAAACAUCCCUUUUUUAUGAAACGUAUAAAAACAUCAUGUUCCAUAAAUAUAAAAUCGUUGGUCUUCUCUAAUGUUCUUUAAAAAGACAAGUAACGUUUGUGAGACAUUAUCAUAUAAUAAAAGUGUAAAUGGUCUCCCUCGUAUAAGAUAUUAUUACCCCAUUUUUGUCUGAAAUAAGUGACCUGUAAAAGAACAAUAUGCUUCGUUCAGAAAUAUUUACCAUUUACUGUCGAGGUUAUUAGAUGUAUGAACAGAGUAACGCGUGGAUAAAUUGUAAAGUAAAAAAUAUAUUUUAAUACAGAAGUGUAA
Long non-coding RNA from Bombus pyrosoma, 3776 nucleotides. RefSeq lists it as uncharacterized. The transcript has 2 exons. The record is from RefSeq and is a predicted model, not a curated record. Lineage: Eukaryota; Metazoa; Arthropoda; Insecta; Hymenoptera; Apidae.